This 858-nucleotide long non-coding RNA is filed under the name Rattus norvegicus (Norway rat). RNAcentral describes it as "long non-coding RNA NONRATT003093". Lineage: Eukaryota; Metazoa; Chordata; Mammalia; Rodentia; Muridae. The record is from RNAcentral.
CUCUUAUCCACACCUAUGUCCCAAAAUGUACUUUCAACCCUCAGGCCAGAGAAAGGAGGCCUUCCUAGGAAGAGCCUGACUCAGUUUACCAAGAGUUCAGCUGUUAUUUGGGGGGCUUGAUUCCCCACUUCAAAACCAUAUCUUCCAGGAAAGUUCUGAACAGGCCACUGUUAACUGGGGUCCCUUCUCCAACGGUGUAAGUAUCUUUAUUUUCUCCUUAGCAAAUAUGAUAAAUAGAUUAGACCCUUUGGAGAGACCAAAGGGUAGCAAAAGACAGUAAGUUCGUGUCAGGAGCACACUCUCAGCUGCUUUGUCCUUGUGUUAACUUAUUGCUGGGACUCCCUGUGGGUGUGUGUGUGUUAUUGUGAGUGUGCCCUCACGGGUAAGUACAUGUGUGCCUGUUCAUCCCAUUAGACAGCAAGGCAGUAGCCAGGACCUCCAUCCAUGAAGCUCUCUUACCUCUGCCUUUUAUCCAAUGCAAGUUUACCCCAUAUCCUCUCACACAUCAGAGACCCAACCUGAGGUAGUGAUAGUUCACAUAUGUCCAUAAUAGGGUUUUGAUAGAGCAGAGGUAACAUGUCUGACUGAAUUGUGGUGGUUAUAACCCAUUGGGGGUUUGGCAUGGGGACGAGAAUGGUACUACAUCCCUCCACCAUGACCUCUCCCCAAAACCAGACUCCAGUGAUCCUUCUGUGUUUCUGUGUGCACCACAGUCAUGUCUCAUGUGCUAAGGCUUUAGUGUAGUUAGAAUAGAGUUCCCUCACAGGAUGCUUCUGUAUCUUUCUCCACAGCGUAUUGUCCUCUGUGAUGGGGAGUUAUCUGUUGUUGAAAUAAAAGAUUAUUUAUUUGUGACUUGCA